AUUUAGAGUGUUGUGAUAGUGACCUCAUAGUCAGCUGAACAAGAGGGGCAGCUUUCCUGUCCCUCAGUGGAGUGAGAGGAAAUAUCAAAAAUGCCUAAGACUUCAUGUCCUGUCAUCCAUAAAACUGAUAGGUUCAUACAUAAAUUGAUUCAUAGAUUGUAAGGCUGGAAGGGACCUUGGAAGAUCAUCAGGUCCAGCCCCCUGCACCAGGCAGGAAAGACAACCGGGGGUCAGGCAGCGAGGUGACCAUCCAGACUCCUCUUGAAGAUUUCCAGGGUAGGCGAUUGCACAGCCUCUGGAGGGAGCCUCCUCUCUACGUUUUCCAGUUCUACUAUAUCCUUUUGGAGGUGCAUUCCCAGCAAGUCAUAGCUAAGUGACAGAAACGUGACAUCUGAACUAAUGGGAUUAGAAGAUCAACCGGCCAUCUUCAUAAGUAAUGGAAAAAGGUAGUCAAAUGGCUAUGUACCAGAUGUCAGGUUUUGUAUCCACAGGGACCAAGGUGCAUUAGAGUGUUAUCAUUCUGUAGAUAGUAAAUAAGGGCUCAGUAAUGGUACUGCCUGAGUCCAUUUAAUAGAUGCUAUCUGAAAUAACAACUAGUAAGUUAAACACACCAAGACAAUAAUUAUUCCUUUGAAAACAACUGUCUGCAUCCUCUGGAUAACCUGUUUUAAAGGCUACAAAGGAAGAAAUGGUAGGAUAACUUGACUUGGAACACAGACAAGAAGUGGAGUAACUAACUAAAGUGUUCACAAGGAAAAAACUGAACUGAUGCCACCUCUCCUGGGGUGAACAGACAUCUGAGUUUGCAAUGAGCUCAGUUAGCAAACAGCUUGAAGAAAGAAAAAGGGGUCCAACAGUACAGUUCCCUCUUCUCCUCUCCCCUCUCAUUUGCUGCUUCUUUUCAAGUUCUCUGUAAUCAAAAAUACAUCAUUAUCUUGCCCCUACUUAACUCAUGUUGACAAUAGGUGGAUCAUUUCCCCUAUAUAGCAGCUAAAUAUAGAAGUUAGCCAGUACAUGGCUGCUUUCAAACUAAUGGAGGUUAUCAUUUACUUCAACCAAAGGGAGACUCAUUAUUUUAAAAUCACAAGUCAUGGAUUCAGUGCUAUGGAUGACUCAGCCAAAAGGUGUCAUAGUUCUUUUCUUCAUCUUUUUCCAGUGUGAUAACAAUAACAAGUUAGCCAAUGAUUUCCUUUUCUCUUUAAUUUAUUGGUAUGGCUUUUUGAAACUCUAAAGAAAAAAAUAUUGGAGCCAACUCUUUCAAUCCCACACAGAACUAGAGUAGAGGGAACUGCAAAUUGCAGUUGAGCUAACCUGUGAUGUUAUUGACCUGCAUUGCAUCAGAGCUAUGAAGAAAUCAUUCAGCGUGCAUAAGAAUAUAAUACAAUAUAAGAAUACAAUAUAAAAAUUAUUUAAAUCAUAAGGCACUUAAUUUCCUUGGGAAAACACUGAAGAUCAUUUUUUAAAUGCAUACAAAAUAAAGCAGAUUUUACUGACUGGAUUAAAUAUGAAUUAAAACUGGUGUGUUUUACAGUGAGAGGAAAUUACAGUGUAGAGGUAAGAGGAGACUGAAACUUUUCCUUUAUUUCAGCUAAAAGCCUUGGAAACACAGUGAACAACAGGUUUUGAAAAAUGUUACUUACUGUCAGGAGGAGGUUGCUACUGGUGAAUUGUAUUUUUAAAGCAAGAGUGAGGCCAAACAUUUUGGUAUGUGAGCUGCACAGUCAUAAAUGGAGGUUGUACAUCAGAACUGUCCUAGGCUAGCUACUUCAUGACAAUUAUGUGGGAAUAGUUUCUAUAUCCUAGAAGAACUCUAGUGGAAAAAUACUCCAGACCUGAUACUACACUGUGUUUGAACUAUACUUAAGGCAGCUCAUUGUGGGCCUUGCCACUUUGCAGCUCAGCUGUCUCCAGUUUAAAUUAGAACACUCUUAAGGCUGAUUUUAAUUUAGUGUAUAUGAUCUCAAGGAAGUCUAAGGUGCCAUGAUCAGACUCCCUUUCCUCCAGCCUUUAUUAUUGUUCCAGAGGCCUGGCAACAUCUGGAGUUUCCCCCAUACCAAGUGAAUUUUGCUAGCUGCUUAUGCGGACAAUUAAGGCUGUUCACACUACUGCCACAGUAUAAGCAGGGGCUAAGACUGUCUCUGAUUUCCACUUGUGCCAGUUCUUUUCCUGCUUCAUUAACACUAGAAGGGAGGAAUAGGCUGCAAUUGGACCUAGACAGGUUACAGGGGUGGGCAGAUGAGAACAGGAUGGGUUUCAACACUGACAAGUGCAAGGUACUGCACCUGGGGGGAAGAACCAGCAGCACACCUACAAGCUGGGGAACUCCCUUCUCAUUAGUGCAGAGGCAGAAAAGGAUCUUGGAGUCAUUAUUGAUGCCAAAAUGAACAUGGGCCGACAGUGUGGGGACACGGUCAGGAAGGCCAACCGCAUCUUGUCAUGCAUCCAGAGAUGCAUCUUGAGCAGGUCCAAGGAAGUGAUCCUCCCCCUCUAUGCGACACUGGUCAGGCCGCAGUUGGAGUACUGCAUCCAGUUCUGAAUGCCGCACUUCAGGAGGUAUGUGGACAGCAUGGAGAGGGUCCAGAGGAGGGCCACUCGCAUGAUCAGGGGUCAGCAGAGCAGGCCCUACAAGGAGAGGCUAAGGGACCUGAACCUGUUCAGCCUCCACAAGAGAAGGCUGAGGGGGGAUCUAGUGGCCAUUUACAAACUAGUCAGGGUAGACCAGCAGGCACUGGGGGAAUCCCCGUUCCCCCAAGCACUACCAGGAGUGACAAGAAAUAACGGUCACAAGCUGGCAGAGGGUAGAUUCAGGCUAGGUAUCAGGAAGCGCUAUUUCACUGUCAGGUUGGCUAGGAUCUGGAACCGACUUCCAAGAGAAGUGGUGCUGGCUCCUACCCUGGGGUCUUUAAAAGGAGGCUAGAUGAACACCUCGCUGGGGUUGUUUGACCCCAGUACUCUUUCCUGCCAUGGCAGGAGGUCAGACUAGAUGAUCUGCUCAGGUCCCUUCCAACCCUACCAACUAUUCCAGUUAAUUUGUGACAAAUAGUCUGAAACCUGGAGCCUCUCAUUUUGCGUGAAGAACACACCGUGCAUUUGAGAAGAUAUUUUUUUCUAUGAUAUCCCAGAAGGACUGCUAAUUUCUCACUUAAAAAUCUGUGGUACCAUACUGUGGUGUAUGAAUGUGCUAAUGAAAUAAAGCUAAGUCUUGGGAAGCCUUGUUAUUUUAAA
Molecule: long non-coding RNA, 3225 nt
Organism: Alligator mississippiensis (American alligator)
Lineage: Eukaryota; Metazoa; Chordata; Crocodylia; Alligatoridae
Exons: 2
Source: RefSeq, a predicted model, not a curated record